ACGCUGGCGGCGUGCCUAACACAUGCAAGUCGAGCGAAUGAAGUUCCUUCGGGAACGGAUUUAGCGGCGGACGGGUGAGUAACACGUGGGCAACCUACCUCAUAGAGGGGAAUAGCCUUCCGAAAGGGAGAUUAAUACCGCAUAAGAUUGUAGUACCGCAUGGUACAGCAAUUAAAGGAGCAAUCCGCUAUGAGAUGGGCCCGCGGCGCAUUAGCUAGUUGGUGAGGUAACGGCUCACCAAGGCGACGAUGCGUAGCCGACCUGAGAGGGUGAUCGGCCACAUUGGGACUGAGACACGGCCCAGACUCCUACGGGAGGCAGCAGGUGGGAAUAUUGCACAAUGGGGAAACCCUGAUGCAGCAACGCCGCGUGAGUGAUGACGGCCUUCGGGUUGUAAAGCUCUGUCUUCAGGGACGAUAAUGACGGUACCUGAGGAGGAAGCCACGGCUAACUACGUG
This 458-nucleotide ribosomal RNA is filed under the name uncultured bacterium. Its description in RNAcentral is "bacterial SSU rRNA". It matches the Rfam family "Bacterial small subunit ribosomal RNA", at positions 33 to 507 of the family's 1533-position model. The record is from RNAcentral.